AUCCAGCUGACAAGUCCCAAAUAGGGCGAAACGCCUGUCAUGGAU
Molecule: non-coding RNA, 45 nt
Organism: Schistosoma curassoni
Lineage: Eukaryota; Metazoa; Platyhelminthes; Trematoda; Strigeidida; Schistosomatidae
Source: Rfam